This 804-nucleotide long non-coding RNA is filed under the name Olea europaea subsp. europaea. Lineage: Eukaryota; Viridiplantae; Streptophyta; Magnoliopsida; Lamiales; Oleaceae. The record is from RNAcentral.
ACCACAACUUAAUAAACUUAAUAAAUUAUAAGUCAAAAUCACAUUUCUUAAAUUAUAUAUUAUUUACUGGUCACAAAAUUAACUAAUUUAUUGGUUGCAAGUAGUCUCACCCCAUUCCAUCUCACCCACUACCACUACCACUACCACUAUCACCGUCGCCAUGACUAGUAUCACUAUCCUCAUCGCCACCACCUCACCAGACCAAAAAUAUCACUAUCAUCUCACCACCGCAACCAACAUCAUAAACACUACCAUUCAAACACCACAAAAAAAUCAAAUUCAAAAUAAUGUUAUUGAACAACCAGGUUGCGACUUCGUAGCAACCGCAACCGCUAUGCCAUUACAUCACAACCACCACCAGCUUGCCGAACCGCCAACAACCCUACCACUUCACCGCCACAAUGAACAUCACAAUCACAACCAACCAAAUACCAAAGACCAAAAAUCAGAUGACUGGAUAAAGACGGUGGCUGGGAACUAGAUGCCAGAAGAAACCAAAUGCCACGUGUUUGCAGUAGCGCCCAGAAGAAUCAGAUCGUAGUGCCUCGACGCCUUUUACCAGGGAUGAAGACAUUGACCGGGAAUGGGAUGCCGGCUGCUGAGAUGUGUGAGAUAGAGAGAUUGGUAUGUAGAGAGGAGAGGGAAUGUUAGCUGUCAUGAGAGAGAGAGAGAGAGAGAACAUGGAGGGGAGAGUAAUUAGGGUUUGUGAUGAAUUUUGGCAGGUUAUUAAUAUUAUAUAUUUGAAUUAAUAUCUGAUUUUUGUAUAAACAAAUUUUAUAUCUAAUUUUUGAAAUUGGAUCUUAA